ACCAUUGCCAAUAACGCAACCACAAAGCUCUGCACAACUGAAAAAAAUCAGCUUAUUACUAAUUUGGAUGAAACAAAAGAAACAAAGUGUUGGGAGGUUGAAAGAAGUUACAAUGAUUGUGAUAAGACUCUAAGAUGGAAAAGAGGAUCUAAUUUCUUAUCGUACAAACCGUAACAAUACCAAGACGAGAAGGCUAUGAACCCUAACGCCAACCAAGGUCCUUCAAAUCCAGAGAGAAACCUCUCUGAACUUGCCUCAAGUGCAGAGACACUCCUCUGAUUUGCAUAAAGAUCCCAAUUACAAGAUGAUCUAGCCGUAAAGGUCAAGAGGUCUAUUUAUAAUAUCUCUUAACAGU
RNAcentral lists this long non-coding RNA (355 nucleotides) under Brassica rapa (field mustard). RNAcentral's name for it is "long non-coding RNA (BRAP_LNC005021)". The record is from RNAcentral. Lineage: Eukaryota; Viridiplantae; Streptophyta; Magnoliopsida; Brassicales; Brassicaceae.